CAGGGCGCGCUGCAGUUCGCUUUCCCUGGGUGACCGCGCUGUCUUUUCGUUUCCUGCCCUGCUGACGCGUGCACCUAUUUCAUACUCUGCGCAGCUCUGCGUGGAGAAAGUGCGGGGCUCCCUCUCCGUUCCACACCAAACUCCUGAUUGCUCCGACCUGCUCUGGGGUCGCCAAGACGCGCGCUGCCCUUCUCCCAGUACUGGUCUCCCCAACGUCUUUGACCACCCUUAAUACCGACGAACUUGGUCGGACAACUGAUGUGUCCAGCCAAGUGUCACGUACUGGGAAUACAAAGUGGAUUGAGGCAAACUCUCUGAGAUUCCAGAGUUCAGUUAGAGAAAUUGACAGAAUCUAGUACUUUUAAAACUUAACAUGAUGAAUGAAUGUGGUGAGAACAGCAGCAGAAAAUGGCACUGAAUUCCAUAUAAAUAUCUGGGAAGGGCAUUUGAAAAGGGGAGAAAAGGUGUACAGUUUAACCAGCUUGGGGCAAGGGAGUGAGAGGCGCUGAAGCUCCUUAAACUUGAAACCCAGGCUAGAAUGAGUGACAAUGAGCCAGUCAGGGUGCUUGUUUGAGCGGGUUGGUUGGAGGGUGGGCAGUUACGAGGGAUAAGAAAGAAAAAAAGCGUGAAACAGAACUGGGUUUAUAUGUGUUUGUAUUGAACGAGAGAGGAGGAACUCGAGUUGAAACACUAAACCGGUUUCAAAAAGAGCCAUGCAAGGAUUUCGAACACAGCAGCAGGACUGCAAGCUUUGUGUUUAAAAAAUAAAUAAAUAAAUAAAUCAGUCUGCCAGCACAGGACCACUUCGCUUUCUGGGGACUCUCAGGCUUUACCAAGAGAAUUUUGAGGGUGUCAAAGCUAGAGGCUGAAAACUGUGAGAAUUACUAGGAAGAUGCUACAGUCAGAAUGAUUAGAGAUGGCGAAGGCCUAAUAGCAGUAAAAAGCAGAAAUGGCACAGAAGAAACCAGUAAUUGCUUAGAAGGUAAAAUGGGAAUAACUGUAAAUAAUAGCCUGUGCGAUCUGAGAGGAAGGACUUGAGAGUGUCUCCCAGAUUUCUAGCUUGGGACCCCAGUAGAGAUCAAAAUUUAGGGAGAGAAGUGGGUAGGAGAGAGUGCCAAGGAUCAGGUGCUGCCUUUGAGAUGUCUACGCAUAUCUCCACUUUCACCGUCCAUCAUCUCUUCAGCUACAGUGGAGGAGCUCCCAAUCUAAUAAAACUGUCUUGCUGAGAUGAGUAAUAACUCCAUCUUUCCAAAUACACUAGUCACUUCUCUGUCAUCGUGCUCGACUUGUUAUUAUCAACUGAUGCAGUUGACAGCCCCUCCUCUUUAGCAUCCUUGGCACCAUACUUGCCUUGUGUUCCUCCCACUUUGCUGGCCUAUCUCAUUUGCUGUCUUAUCUGUCAACUCCUCCUCUUUUCAAAAUCUAGAUAUUCAAUGCUGCAAGACCCAGUCCUGUGCUUUCCUCCUCUCGUCCAUUCCCAUAGCUUUAAAUACCCUCCCUCUGCAUCCAGUAGGUAGCCAUGUAGGGCUGUUGAUCAUUUGAAAUGUGGAUAGUUGGAAAUGAGAUAUGCAAUAUGUAUAAAAUACACACCAGCCUACAAAGACGUGUAUGAAAAAAAUAACGUCCUGAUUUGAAUACUGAUUACAUGUUGAAAUAUUUUGCAUAUAUUGGGUUAAAUAUAUAUUGAAACUAAUUUCACCCAUUUUUACUUUUCAUGUGACUGCUCAAAAAUGUAAAAUUACAUAUGUGGUUUAUCCUGCAUUUCUGUUUAUCCGUGUGGAUUUAUAUGCUGUUGCCUCUAAAAUGCCUCCAUUCCAGACUCCUUUCUUGGGCAGUAAGACUACCAUUCCAACUUGCUUUUCGACAUCAUGUGGAUGAUGUGGAUGACUAAUAAGCAUCUCAAACUUAUCACAUCUAAAACAGAAGACUUGAAUUCUCUCACCCAUGCUAUACCUGUUCCUCCGUAAAUGUCCCUCAGCAAAGUAAAUGGGACAAGCUAGCCACAAGUCUACCAGUCAUCCUUGAUGGCUUACUUCAUCUCCCACAUCUACUUCAGUAUGUCUUGUCAACUCUCCUCCAAAAUAUACACUAGUUGUGCAUGUUCUCCAUGACUACUCCUCUUACUAGAAUGAUAUCUAUCAGAAAACUGCAACAGGCUCUUUAAAAUUUUUUUGUUUUGCUUAUAUUCUAUGAGAAGUACAUCUGGCAUAUCAUUCAAACAGUACCAAACAGAAUAAAGUUCAAAGCAAAUCUUUUCUGUCUCCCUAUACCCAGUACUCAUGGGAAGUAAUCAUCAUUACUGGAUUAUUUUGAAUCCUUCCAGAGUUACUACGCAGAGUUAUUUUUCUUCCUUUCAUCCCAGCAGUAUAGCCUAGAAAUUGUCCUUAUUCCUGAAGACAAUCUUGGAAACAACCUGUUUGCCCCACCAUCCCUAAUCAAGCUUGUGAUCAGAUUUUUGGUCUUUGCAAGUAUGAUCAGUGAAAAAUUCCUAUCAUACUGCAGUCUCAAUUUAUAUUUAUAUUGUGUUGAGGAAUAUUGAACAUCUUUUAUGUGAUUAACAGCCAUUUACAUUUGUUCUAGGAAUUCUCCUCUUAUCCUUUGCUUAUUUUUCCAGAUGAGUUACUGAGGUUUUUUCUUAUUGAUUAAAUAGGCUCUUUGUUGCAGAUAGGAGUUGCAAAUAUUUAUUUUGACUCUGUUUAUGGUAAAUCCAUACAGUUUCUAAUGCCAAACUCUCUGUUUUUUUCUUUUGUAACUCCAGGGAUUUGCUUCUCACAGAAGAUUUUCAAUAGCCUCUAUCAGUCUGUCUACUUCCAUUGUUGCAUUUCUAUUAUAUGUUGCCCACACAACAAUAAAAAUGAUCUUUUUAGUUUGGAGCUUUGAUUUGUCAAAAAGUUAUGAGGCAAUCAUCAAUAUCUGAACUAAAAGAAACAAAACUGGGCUGAGCACAGUGGUUCAUGCCUGGAAACCCAAUACUUUGGAAGGCCGAGUUGGGUGGAUUGCUUGAACUCAGGAACUGGAGACCAGCCUGGGCAACAUGAUGAAACCUCAUAUCUCCAAAAACCAAAAAUUAGCCAAAUGUGGUGACAUGCACCUGUAGUCCCAGCUGAGGUGGUAGGAUCACUGGAGCCCAGAAAAUAGAAGCUCCAGUGAGCCAUGAUUGCACCACUGUACUCCAGCCUGUGUGACAUAGCGACCCUGUGAAAGAAAGAAAGAAAGAGAGGAAGAAAGAAAGAAAGAAGAGAAAGAAAGAAAGAAAGAAAGAAAGAAAGAAAGAAAGAAAGAAAAAGAAAGAAAGAAAAGAAAAAAGCAACAAAACUGGAUUUACCGUAUAUGCUAAUGACGAAAAGCUAUGCUGGGUAGGCAGUCUCCCCAAACAGAGGAGGCUGCUGAUGCUCUAUGGAGCUUUGGGGAAUAUAGAGUUCAGGAAUAGGUGCAUUUCAAAGGGAAAAGAGUUUGCCAUCAUCUGUAGAAGAGUAGAUAUUCUGGUAAGACUGUUGUUAAUUCUCCAUUGAAUUUAUUGAAGUGAAUAUGUCAUUGGCUGACUUUGAGAAAGAAGAGUUUUUUUCAAAACAACUUCUAUUGAGGCAGUUGAUUAAUUGAAUGGGUUUAAAACUGGUUCUAGGAGUGUGGAAACUUCCUUUAAUUCUCAGGUCUUUAAAAAAUUAUUAUAGAAAUGUAAAACCUACAGAAAAAAAUCAGAAAGUAAUAUAAUGAAAAAGGUAAUGCACCCACCAAACUGAGUGCCCAGGGAAGGACACAGGAAAGAGUUAUUAGUCAGUGCAAACUCCCCAGUGCAGUGCCUGAGAACUUCUCCUUGGGAGCUUGCCCUUCUUAGGAAUUCAGGUUACUUGGUUGCCUUGUAACCCAGCUGCAUCUGAUGGUUUCAGUUAAGGUUGUGACUUUGUAGUUCAUCUGAGUUUUUCCCAUUAUUCAGAAAGGAAGGAUGUUCAUUGCAGCCUUUCAUAUCCUAAGCACAAAAGAAGUCUUUCCUCUCAAUUUUAACAGCACAUUAAUGGUAUAUCACCCUUUUACUCCCAGUUUCUUAGUUGUCUCGUCUUUAUGAGGUUUCGGCUUAUUUGUUUUGUCAUAAAAAGGGUUCUUUUUUUAGAAUAUAGUCAAAUUUAUCAAUUUUUUUCUUUUAUUGCAUCUGGAUUUUAAAACAUAGUUAGAAAUCCUCUCCUUGUACCCAAGUUAUAGAAGAAUUCACUCAUUUUUUCCCUAAUUACAUGGUUUAAUUAUUUAGAUUCCUGACCCAUUUGGAGUUUAUUCUUUUGCCUAGUAUGAGAUAGGGGUCAAAUAUUUUGUCUUUUUCUAAAUGACUAACCAAUUGUUAGGUACAUCUUUGUCCAAGUGAUUUGAGAUGCCACCUUUAUUGUAUACUAAAUUCCCAUAUGUAUUUGGGUUUGCUUCUAAACUUUCUUUUCAGUUGUACUGGCCUGUCUUUCUUGCCAUGCACCAGGACCACAGUUUUUAUUUUAGAGGCUUCAGAGUAUGUUUUAGUGACUGGUAGAGGUAGUCCCCUUUCAUAGCCCUUGUUUUUGUUUUCCUGGAUAUUCUUCCAUAUUUUUUCAUCUGAAAUUAGUAUCCGCUUGUCUAGCUCCAUAAGAAAACUUGGUAUUAUCUGAUGAACUUUAAAAAUUAACUUAAGGAGACUUCACUUUUUAACGUUAAGUCAUCGCAUACAAAAAGAAGGGGUGUUCCAUUUUUUCAAACUAUUUUGUGUCUUUUGAGAGUGUUUACUUCAUAUAUAUUUUACACAUUUCUUAUUAACUUUAUUAUUCUUUGUUGCUUUUGUAAAUGUAGUUUUCUCUCCCUUUAUGUCAUGCUACUGGUUAUGUAUGUGAAGACUGUUGAUUAUGUAUGUUAAUUGUAUGUCCUGCCACCUUACUGAAGUCUUCUCUUGCUUGACUUAGUUUUGUUGUUAAUUCUCUAUGAUUUUCCAGGUGUACUAUCAUACUGUCUGCAAAGACAGAGAGUUUUACUUACUCUUUUUAGUCCUUCUGCCUUCAAUGGAUUUUUCUUGUCUAAUUGCAGUAGCUGAUAUCUCCAGUUCAAUGUUAAAUAGCGGUGAAGAUAGUCUACAUUCUUGCCUUGUACUUGGGAGAAAUACUAAACAAACAGAAGCAAAAGGAAUGCUCUUCCUUGUAGGAGAAAGCCAAUCAGUAAAUGUAGAAGGAAUGAUAGGAAUAGAAAACUGCUAUUUGCUAGGCAUCAUCAUAAUAUUUGAUCCUGGCAAGAAUCAUUAAUAGUUGCCAAAAUUAGUGGAUAAAAGUUUGAAGUGUAAAGGAUAUAUGCAUAAUCUCAAAGUGGCUCCUCACCAGAGAUUUAUUAAUGACAAAGGAAAAAAAUAGUGCAGAAACCUGGCCCACACACCUGAACCAAGGGAUCAUAGUUAAUAUUACCAGUAUUGAGACAAAGUGACAUCAUGUGCCCCCAGAUAUGCACUGAAACUGAAAACACAAAACUGUGGUUUACUUAACAACAGCUCAUGCCUAAAUCUCAGCAUAAGGAAACACCAAACAAACCCAAAUUGAAGGAUAUUAUACAAAAUAACCGGCCUGUAUUUCUCAGAGUCAUCAAAAACUAAGGAACUGUCCUGAUGAAAGAAGACUGCAGAGACGUGACAGCUGAAUGCACCACAUGAUCCAGGAUUUCUUUGGCUAUAGAGAACCUUAUUGGGAUAGUUGACACAAUCUAAGUUCUGUGGCACGAUGUUUGGCUUUGUCAGUAGAUGGCGACAGAGAAACGUCUCAGGAAAAAAGUAUUCCUCCAGUUCUGCGGCACAGCCAGGACCUGUGACCUGAUUCUGAGAAAACAGCUUCGUAGAAGUCUGAUAAGGAGGUUUUGAAAUGCUCUCCUUCCUGAUGAAAAGAACUGUGAAGAGGAAAGUGCUAUUUUUUUUUCCAUCUCGGACAUAGUUGUGUGAAGUGUGAUGCCUGGAGUUAUGACAGCCAUCUUGCAAUCAUGAGAAGAUAAGGCUGUGGAUGAACACCGACAUACCAAGAAUGGUUGCAUUAAAAGAUGAAAGGAGCCUGGGUCUUGAAUAUCAACACUGAACACUUCAUCAGUUCUCAAACAGCCCUGCCUCUGGACUCUUGUCAUGUGAGAUUACUAAUAUCCUCAUUAUUUAAGCUACAUUAGUAGUUGGAUUUCUUGUCACGUGUAGCUGAAAAUAUCCUAAUACAUCAACAAAUAAAUGAGUAAAUAAUAAAAUUUUUAAUUAAAAAGAAAAAUUGAGCUCUAUACAUAUUGUAUGCAUGUACCAAAAAUAUCACUUGUACUCUAUAAAUAUAUACAACUGUUACAGAUCCAUUUUUUAAACAUACAAAUUUGAACCUUUUUUUCUAUUUAUGUUUCUGCCAGCAGGAAGUCCAAAUCGAACUCUCUUUGUGUCUAUUUGCGUCUGUUUUUUAAAUAACCUGAUUAAAUUAAACCUUAUGAGAAUUUUUUUUUAAAAAAGAAAGAAAGAAAUGACUAAAUAGAAAAUGGAAUUAGAGGGUACAAACCUCGGAAAAGAGAUCCAAAAGACUGAAUGUAACUAGAAAUGGCAGGAGAGACAAAAGAUAUAUUCUGAGGAGAAACAGAAAGGGUGACAGCAAACAUGCCAGAACAUGUGAAGGUGAUAUUCCACAGGAGGUGGGUAAGGGUAAGCUAGAAGGAGUUGGGAAUAUCAGGUUUAGAAACACAUAAGUAAAAAAUCCUCCUCUAAAAUAAAAAAGAGGCAGGGCACGGUGGCUCACACUUGUAAUCCCAGCACUAUGGGAGGCUGAGGCAAGUGGAUCAUUCAAGAUCAGGAGUUCAAGACCAGUCUGGCCAACAUAGUAAAACCCCCUCUCUACCAAAAAUACAAAAAUUAGCCAGGCAUGGUAGUACUUGCCUGUAAUCCCAGCUACUCGGGAGGCUGAAGCACAAGAAUCACUUGAACCUAGGAGGCGGAGGUUGCAGUGAGCCAAGAUGGCGCCACUAUAUGCUAGUCUGGGUGACAGAGUGAGACCCUGUCUCAAAAAAUAAAUAAAAUUAAAAAGCCAGGAAAAGGAAAGAUGACAGAAUAGGUAUCAGAUAAUACCAAUUUAUUUUACUAAAAUCAUCCAAAGGAUUACAGAAAAUUAAGCAAUUAAAUAGUGAGGCUUAAUUUUGACUUCAGAAUGUCAAUAGCAUGACUUCUUCUCACAGGAUAGAAGUAUCUGUAAGUGUAAUAAAAUUGAUAAACUUGGCUACAUUUGGAGCCAAGGAAUUUUUACUAUACAGUAUUUAGAAUAACUGACAGUUAUUUCUACAGUAUUUAGAAAUAACUAAUUAUUUCUCUUUUCCAUUGUUGAAAAUGCAGCCCCUUCCAUUAUAAAAUCAUGUAUCUCAUGGAUACCUUCAUAUAAUGUGAUUCUCCAUGUCUAUUUAUCUCUAUUUAUCCUUCCAGCCCAUUCAUUGCUAAGCUCAAACCAUCUACUGUUCACCUGUGCACUUGGAGAAUCUGUUACUUUUCCUCUUCAAUUGAUGGAACCCAGAACUAAAGGAAGCCAGAGAUUCGCACUGAAGAAAUGGAAACAGACAGUAAUGAAGCCUAUUCUAUUUUACUCCUUAGUGUUAAUCAAAAAAUAGUUUGUUAAUCAAAAAAAAGUAAGACAAAAGGAAUAAACCCAAAUGUAUUAGUAGAAAUAAACCCAAAUGUAUUAGUCAUUAAUAUAAGUUAACUAAAUAACCCAAGUAAAAAGCCAAGACUGUAAUACUGGUUAAAAAUACAUGUUGCUUACAACAACCACAUUUUAAACAUAAGAAAUAGAUUGAAUAUGGGACGACAGAAAUAUAGUCAACAUGUAAAUGUUCACUACAAGGGAGCUGAGGUAGUUAUCCUAAUAUCAGACAGAGGGGACUGGAAGGCAAGAAGUGUUCUCAAACAUAAAGAGGGGUACUUUAUUAUGAUCAGGACUCAAUCCAACAGAAAGAUAUCACAGUCCUAAAUCCUAACACACUCAAUAACAUAGCUUCAAAAUUCAAAAAGUAAGAAAUUGACAGAUCUAAAUUCCACUGAGGUUGGGAAGCCAACGCGGGUGGAUCACUUGAGGUCAGGAGUUUGAGACCAGCCUGGCCAACAUGGUGAAAUCUGUCUCUACUGAAGUUACAAAAAAAAAAAAUUAACUGGGCUUGGUGGCGCAUGCCUGUAAUCCCAGCUUGCCAGGAGGCUGAAGCAGGAGAAUCACUUGAAUCUGGGAGGCAGAGGUUGCAGUGAGCUGAAAUCGUGCCAUUUCACUCCAGCCUGGGCAACAGAGCAACACUCCAUCUCAAAAAUAAAUAAAUAAAUUCCACUGAGAGAAGUCACUGAUAGAAUUCAAGAUAAGUCUGAAGAGUGAAACCCUAUUAAUUCUGAACUCAUUAUCACACAGCUCCCGAAAUGUGAAUCCUGAUCAGUGUUAAGUUGUCUCAGGGACUCAAAUGGGGGCACCAGUUUGAUGGGUAGCCUUGUCUGGCCCACUAAAUCUCUUGCUCAGUGAGAUCUCUAGAAAAUAUCUCCAGCACUUCAUUUAAAGCCUUAUGUGUAUAUUAUAUCCUUUUUUUUAUUGCAUUUUAGGUUUUGGGGUACAUGUGCAGAACAUGCAAGAUAGUUGCAUAGGUACACACAUGGCAGUGUGUUUUGCUGCCUUCCUCCCCUCCACCCAUAUUUGGCAUUUCUCCCCAGGCUAACCCUCCCCAGCUCCCCUCCCCCUGCUGUCCCUCCCCCAUUCCCCUCAAUAGACCCCAGUGUGUAGUACUCCCUUCCCUGUGUCCAUGUGUUCUCAUUUUUCAGCACCCGCCUAAGAGUGAGAAUAUGCGGUAUUAUACCCUUAAGUAAGAAAUGAUGCAGCCCAUCUGCAUUUUUCUAAAUGAAUUCCAAUCAGGGUCAGCAGGACACCAGGGCCCUGUCCCAGACUUGGGAUCUACCAGCUCCUGUUCUUGUCAAAAAAUAAACAUAUCUGGCAGUUGCAUCUUGGAACCUGGCAGCUCAGUAGUCCUCAUCAGAAACUUAGGACAGCAAAGUGCUCCAGGAUUAUGGUCCAAAGGGUCAUAAACAUGUAGAAAAUUUUAAAACACUGGUUUCCUCCCCAGCAAGGAGCACGUCACUCAGUUCAGCUGUGUCAUCAGUAAUGUCUACUCCAAAGACUACUGUUUCAAGAGGACCAUUUCUCUUUCUCUAUUCUGUCUGCACAGCAGGCCAGUGCCUGCCCCCACAACACUCACAGCCCACUCUCAAAUCUCAGGCCAUAAUCUCUGCAUUAGACUCACUUUCUUUAGAAACAGAUCACUCUAGGCUGGGUGCAGUGGUUCACACCUAUAAUCCCAGAACUUUGGGAGGCCGAGACAGGAGGAUCACAAGGUCAGGCGUUUGAGACCAGCCUGGCUGACAUGGUGAAACCCCAUCUCUACUAAAAAAAAAAAAUACAAAAAAAUCAGCUGAGCAUGGUGGCGUGCACCUGUAAUCCCAGCUACUCAGGAGGCUGAGGCAGGAGAAUCUCUUGAAAACCCGGGAACGGAGGUUGCGGUGAGCUGAAAUAGUGCCACUGUACUCCAGCCUGGGUGACAGAACGAGACUCUAUCACACACACAAAAAAAAGAAAAAAGAAAGAAAGAAACAGAUCACUCUGCUACAUUUGCUCAGCUUUAACCUUCAAUUUCAAGUUUGCUUCAGAACCCAAAACCCAGCAAUAUGCAGUGACUGUCUUUUCUUCUACUGCAAGCUUUGUCAUCUAAUUUAUACCACAGGAAGAAAAUAGACAGGUCAAGUUUGGUUACUCUCAAAUUUUCUAAUUAUCUUUAAGACUGCUGUGGGUGAUUGAGGGACUCUGGAAUGUCAUGGGACAUUCAUACAUGUAAUAGCUUACUGUAAGUUACCAGUUGUGAAAUAUAUCACUUUCUUAUUCUUAACAUUUUCUUUUAUUAAAAAGAAAGAGUCAACAAAUUUAGCACUUGAUGGGUUCCCUUAAAUGUGAAUAGCCAGCUACCUUUAGAAAUCUAAAAGUAAAAUGAAACUAAUCAAAUAGUUAGUGGUUUCUCUACUGGUGUUGGCCAAAUUGGAAGAGACAGAGGACCUAGAAAUUCAUAUCCUUCAAUUCUUGAAUAGGAGAAAUUAAAGAAAUAUAGCUAUCAUUUAAUCCAGCUUCUGUCUCUUACAAUAGUGAAUUGAGUGGCUUGUGUAAACCAAAUGUUCUAGACCUCAGAAGCUCUAGACACACAAAUCAGGCCCCACUUCCAGUCUGUAACACAGCCCCAGCCUGUAAUGCUCCAACUUAGUUGGUCAAAAGAACUUAGUAUUUUAUCAGAUUCUUCCCCCUCCCACCCAACCCGCCAAAUAUCUCCAGGGAACCCAGAAUGUUCACAAUCCACACACCCUCCUGACAGCCACAACUGCCCCCAAGCCUGUCCUGCAGUCUUCCCACACUUCCCCAGGCCCCUCUCCCCAGCCCUGGCCUCUUUCCACUUCCUGGGUUCCUCUUGUGCUGCUUCUCUCAGACCGAGACACAAACCCAACCAGAGUUGUGUGGGAAGAUCCCAAGGCCCUUCCUAAUGCCACCCUGGAGGGUACUGGGAUGCAUGGGGGUGGUCAUGCCCCUGCCUCUUGUUCCUUAUAUCACUUCUUUCCCUGGUGAACAUGAUCCUUUUUUCCCUUUAGUCCCCAAACCCCCCUGUACAAAUUCGCCAGAU
Callithrix jacchus (white-tufted-ear marmoset) is the source of this 10671-nucleotide non-coding RNA. The record is from RefSeq and is a predicted model, not a curated record. NCBI's taxonomy places the organism in Eukaryota, Metazoa, Chordata, Mammalia, Primates, Cebidae.